AGAUUGAACGCUGGCGGCAGGCCUAACACAUGCAAGUCGAGCGGCAGCACGGGUACUUGUACCUGGUGGCGAGCGGCGGACGGGUGAGUAAUGCCUAGGAAUCUGCCUGGUAGUGGGGGAUAACGCUCGGAAACGGACGCUAAUACCGCAUACGUCCUACGGGAGAAAGCGAGGGGACCUUCGGGCCUUGCGCUAUCAGAUGAGCCUAGGUCGGAUUAGCUAGUUGGUGGGGUAAUGGCUCA
RNAcentral lists this ribosomal RNA (242 nucleotides) under uncultured soil bacterium. Its description in RNAcentral is "partial 16S ribosomal RNA". It matches the Rfam family "Bacterial small subunit ribosomal RNA", at positions 26 to 267 of the family's 1533-position model. The record is from RNAcentral.